Molecule: ribosomal RNA, 253 nt
Filed under: uncultured bacterium
Lineage: Bacteria
Description: partial 16S ribosomal RNA
Rfam family: Bacterial small subunit ribosomal RNA
Source: RNAcentral
UACGUAGGGCGCAAGCGUUGUCCGGAAUUAUUGGGGGUAAAGAGCUCGUAGGCGGCUUGUCGCGUCGGAUGUGAAAGCCCGGGGCUUAACCCCGGGUCUGCAUUCGAUACGGGCUAGCUAGAGUGUGGUAGGGGAGACUGGAAUUCCUGGUGUAGCGGUGAAAUGCGCAGAUAUCAGGAGGAACACCGGUGGCGAAGGCGGGUCUCUGGGCAACAACUGACGCUGAGGAGCGAAAGCGUGGGGAGCGAACAGG